GACGAACGCUGGCGGCGUGCCUAAUACAUGCAAGUAGAACGCUGAAGGAGGAGCUUGCUUCUCUGGAUGAGUUGCGAACGGGUGAGUAACGCGUAGGUAACCUGCCUGGUAGCGGGGGAUAACUAUUGGAAACGAUAGCUAAUACCGCAUAAUAGUAGAUGUUGCAUGACAUUUGCUUAAAAGGUGCAAUUGCAUCACUACCAGAUGGACCUGCGUUGUAUUAGCUAGUUGGUGGGGUAACGGCUCACCAAGGCGACGAUACAUAGCCGACCUGAGAGGGUGAUCGGCCACACUGGAACUGAGACACGGCCCAGACUCCUACGGGAGGCAGCAGUAGGGAAUCUUCGGCAAUGGACGGAAGUCUGACCGAGCAACGCCGCGUGAGUGAAGAAGGUUUUCGGAUCGUAAAGCUCUGUUGUAAGAGAAGAACGAGUGUGAGAGUGGAAAGUUCACACUGUGACGGUAUCUUACCAGAAAGGGACGGCUAACUACGU
Molecule: ribosomal RNA, 494 nt
Filed under: uncultured bacterium
Lineage: Bacteria
Description: partial 16S ribosomal RNA
Rfam family: Bacterial small subunit ribosomal RNA
Source: RNAcentral